Molecule: non-coding RNA, 571 nt
Organism: Solanum lycopersicum (tomato)
Lineage: Eukaryota; Viridiplantae; Streptophyta; Magnoliopsida; Solanales; Solanaceae
Source: RefSeq, a predicted model, not a curated record
ACUAAGUUGCCCACUUCUGUGUGGGGACAUGCAAUUUUGCAUGCUGCAACACUUAUUCAUCUCAGACCGACAGGCUAUCAUAAGGUUUCUUCAUUGCAAUUGGUUAUGGGUCAAGAACUGUAACGACCCUUUGGGUCGUUUUAUGUGUUAAAAUCUUAUGUUUCAUAAAAUACUUUUUGAUAUAUUCUAAAUGGAUAUUUUGGACUAUUUGGGAUUAUAAUUAUGAAAUUAGUGGGGUAGUUUUUAAUAGUUAUUUAGUUGGUGGUUAAGAAAAGUAACAUUAGAAGUAAAGUGGAUCACUUUUACUAUUUUUAUAAUUAGUUAGGUAUACAAUUAGGGUAAUAAAAAUUAAAUUAGAUUAAAAGAAGGUUAUUAUAAUUUCUAUCCCAACAAAUUAUGAGCCGCACAAACUCUUAAAGGAUAGAACAUCAAAAUUAUCGCAGAUUAGAAAGGUUCGGAAGCAUUGAGGAAAGAAAGAACAUUGGAGAAGUAGUUGCUUGACUUCAGUUCUUCGGUGGAGCAAGUGUACCGUCGACUUCGACUCGCCCUCAGCUCUAGUCAGUCUCCAACA